CUUCUAAGGCAGGUUAACAGGUUCCUCCAUCUCUGCCGAGACGGUGAAACUGCCGGUUCCCCAGCCGGCCCUGUCACAGCGAGGCAGGGGCAGCCUUUCGGAGACUGCCUGAGCCGCCAAGACCUAAGAUCUGCUUCUUGAGCUUCGAUCUGUCACGAGCCAGGCAUCACAGAAGGAAAUUAAUUUUUUCAAAACAAAUUUCCUCAAACCACAUAAAAGAAAUUCUGUUUUUGUUUUUCUCACGAGCAGAGCAUAGAGGGAAGAAGGGAGGUUUGGGGUCACUCCCCAGGGGGAUUCUGGAUGCGUUUGCCGGUCUGCAAAACUCCUGGAAGGGCUGUGCGAGGACCCGCACAGUGAGGACAGCAAGGCUUGGCCACGGUCCAGGCAUGUGGCCACCCAGGGCCCGUGCGCUGCUGUCACCGUCCUGCUGGGACACACCUCUUCGUUUCUGCUUCUAGGAGGCUUCACUCAGCUCUAGUUUCAAGGCCAUUCUGGGACCUCCUGACAUCCCUGCGAUGUCAGCCCCACGCUCCCUCUGGAUUAUCCUCAGACCUGCAUCACCUCCACCCACGGGCCUUGCCUGGACUUCCUGCCCCGUCCCUGCCCCUGAAGCCACUGCUGAGGCCAGGCAGGACACCCAGCGCCCUGGACAUCUCAACCCCUUGCUCUGGGGUUCCUGAGCCCAGGGAGGUGGGACCUCUCCCUGCGGAAGCCUGGGUUCCCCCUUUGAAAAUCAGGGGCUCGAAUCCCCGUGUGACUGCUCGACAGCAGGAGAUGACAUGUGUGCAAUGUUUCAUAAACCGGGAGAGGGCUGAGCGGGCGAGGGCUGUGUCAGCCCCCUCCCACCCCAACUACUUGAGGGAGGACGCUCCUCUUGGUCACCGGGAAGAUGGGUGGGCAGCAGGGACGGUGGGCUCCAGGGAGCCUGUGGAUGGGACCUGGUCCCAAGGCUGCAGCCUGAACCUGGGGUGUGUGCGAAGGAGACAGGAAAGAAGGACCAGACCUGGCCAGGUCAAGCUCUCAUCGCUCCCCUAAGUGACUCUCAGCCUCUGUUCUUGCCCUUCCGGCCAGCUCUUCCCCCAAAAGCCCUUUAAGCAAAUCCACUGUGUGUAGGGACCACCCAGCCCCUUCCCUGGGGCACAUCUGAGAAGGCGGGAAACUGCCAGCCCCGGGUCAUUCCUCAGAGGCAGCGUGGAGCAGUGGGGCCAGUGCAGGCUCUGGGGUUGCAGGGAAACCCUGCUCCCAUCUCCUGGGGUUCCAGCACAGCCGUGGGGCUGAGGACUCAGCAGGCAGACUGCAGGCACCAGCCAGGCGACCCAGGGACCCCCGGUCUCAGAUAAUCACAGCAGGCCAUUGCAGGGUCACUGGGAGUUAAGCCGGGUACCUGGCACACAGUAGCACCUAAUAAAGAUGAGACACUUUCUAUUGCUAGUAUUCACGCGGCUGGGCUGGCAACCCCGUCAGUAAGAGGGCGGUUAAAGGCGCACCUGCCCCGGAGUUUAUUAAGAGGAUGAAAUGAGACGAUGCUCGUAAAGUGCUCAGCGUGGUAUCUGACACUCAGCAAGGGCUCGACACAGGAGAGCUCUAAUGAUUCAGCUUGGAGGGGAAGUCCUCGGCCUCUGGCUUAAGUUUUCCAGGAAGCCAGGCUGUUGGGAGGAGGGGCCAGCCUCCGCUUGAGCAGGGAGAUGCGCUCUGGCCAGUGACUAAGGCUCGGGCGGCAGGAUGCAGCGGCUCGGGCAGGGCGGGGUUGGGCUGAGGCCGAGGCUGGCCCGCGUUCAGGGUGAUGCAUUUUUACCGUAAGGCCCUGGGUGACUCCAGAGCCAGCGCUGGCCUCCCGGUCCCUGGGGCCUGACACUCACCAGCCAGCAAUGAGAGAUGCUUCGUAAAAGAGGCAGAGACUCUGGAGCCCUCAAAAGCACACACAGUGAGAAAGACGGGGACAGGGCCUGGGAGGAAAGGACAGAUUCACAGGCACGUGGCAUUUAAUAAAUGCCACCCUCUGUUUGUUUAACCAUCUGAGGUGCUAUGAUAGCAGGGCAGGUCUGGGUGCCAGGCUGGGUUCUGGGACCGGAGCCAAAGUCAAUUAAGACCAGGGAUGGAGGGGAACCCAAAAAAGGGUGAGGAGAAGAGAAACACACACACACACACUCUCUCUCUCUCUCUGUCACACACACACACACACGCUCUCUCUCUCUCUCUGUCACACACACACACACGCACACACACACACCCUCUCUCUCUCUCUCUCUGUCACACACACACACACCCUCUCUCUCUCUCUGCACUCCUGUGCUGGGUUCUUUACAAACAUUGUCUCAGGUUGUCAAGAGCCAGGACAAUAGACAGAGAUCAGGUUGUGGGCUUCAGCGACCAAAUACAAGUGUCCAAAUGCCGGCAGGGCCCCCUACUUGCUGAGUAAGGUCAGGCCAAUUAAUUAACAGCUCUGUGAUCCACUUUGCUCAUCUGUAAAAUGGGAAUGAUAAUAUCCACACCCCCUUCCAAAGGGGACCAAAGUAAGCACAGGCUCUUUGCUAGGGCUUAUAAAAUACAGGGGAAGAGUCACCUUGGGACUUAGAAAACCUCAUUCUACUGUGAUCUUCCUAUCUUCUGUAUCCCAUCACCACACUCGGCCUCUAGCAAGCAGUCAAUAUACACAUGAUGGUGUCCAGAGAGCCAGAAACCUGCCCCCGGCAGCAAAGAUACUCAGAGAGCGGGUGGGGUGAGGCUGUACCUAACCCCAGCAUUCUCCCCAAUGUCAACUAGGCAGCGACUACUAUGUCCACUUUAGAGGUAAGGAAACCGAGGCCAAAGAUCUGCAGGCUCACGGUGUGCCUGGCCUUGGGCUGAGCAGGAAAGAAGAAAACAGCAGAAAGAGCAGUUAUUACAGACAGACUACAGGGUUCCAGGGCAAAAGAACUGGUAAAGGGCGGGCUUAUUCACAGUUGUAUUUUAGCACAUAUUGUCUCAACCAGCCUUUGGGGAAUAGCAAUAAUUUCUUCUGCUUCGAUCAACUUCAUUUACCAUCUCGAGCCCAAUUCUUUUCCAAUAGGGAAUAAAAGUGCAGCCACUAAAAGUCAGACAUUCUUUUAAACACAUCCAACCCCGCUGUGUGGCUGUGGGUUAGCUAGCUACCCUCUCUGAGCCUCCAUUUCCUCUCAUGUGCAAAUUGAGCAAAAUACUCACCUCCCUCCUGCUAUGGGGUGAGAAAAGACCACCAUGUGACCAGCCUUCAAGACGGGGCACCCCUUGUCAUAAACGAAAGACACAUCGUAAAAAAGUGACCUUGGGUUUAACUUUGCCACGCCACUGUGAAAAUGAAAAGGGUAAACUUUAAUAAAUACUGACUAUAUAAAUGAAUCCAAUCGUGACCCGAGAGCUUUCUGCUUGGCGAAAACUGGAGAAAAAGGAAUUUGAGAAUGAGCUCAAAAGGUUGGAGAGAGAGCGUCAUGGGUCAAGUGGAGGCUGACAGGUGCUGGGGGAAGACAGUGGGACUUGCUUUUCUGAAAUUCUAGGGAUUCCAGCAACAAGGGACCAGCCACAGGCACUUCCAGGUAAAAGAAAGGCUCUUGCAACACUGUAAAUCACCUAUGCUUCAAUAAAAUUUAAAAAAAAGAAGAAAGUCACUGUUCCCAAAUUCUGACCCAUGUGCACUGGCUCUGGGGAGAGACUCAGUUUUCUUGUCUGUUCAAUGGGGAUGAUGUUAUUUUCUGCCGUAUUCACACAAAGCCCUUAAGACAGUCUAACACCCAGGAAGUGUGCAAUAAGUGUGAGCUACUCCUUUUUAUUCCUGGGUGAUAUUAUUGCCACUAUCCCUCCGUGGUCCCUCUUCUUUCUUCUUCUUGGGAAUCAGCACUUUCUCGGAGACAAACGACAGGGACCGAAGUGGUGCUAUUCUUUAUUGCUUUGGCAAAAUAAAAUAAAGAUCACAACCAUUUCCUUUCCAUUCUGAGUGCCCAGGUGACCAGGAAACACCCGGAGACUUAAAGAGGCUUUCUUAGCCCCGAGUUCAUCUUCCUGCAAAGCCUUAAACUUUUGCUCCUUCCUUUCACUAGACUACAGGCUCCCCAGGGACGGAGAGCAUAUCUGCUCUGCUUGCCACGAGACCCCCAGCACUUGGGACAGUGGCUAAUUUACAUUAGGUACUCGGGAGAAUUAACGGGGUAACUGGCGUAUAAUCAUCGCUCUACAAGUUUGGGUGCAUCCCUGUGAGCAGAGGAGCCAACGAUCAUAAGUUCUCCCCACGCACUUCUCUUGGGACAGCUCGCCUGUACCCAGGCAGACCAGCGGCAACUCGGCCUAGAGGGGUCGGCCUGGGUCUGUACCAGCCUCCGGGUCAGCCCUGGCGCCGUGCGAUACAGAGCUGCGCUGGGCUCACCUCCAAAACACCUUAAUACACAUCCACAGGUAUGACU
Molecule: long non-coding RNA, 4412 nt
Filed under: Sus scrofa (pig)
Lineage: Eukaryota; Metazoa; Chordata; Mammalia; Artiodactyla; Suidae
Description: lncRNA (ENSSSCG00050019159.1)
Source: RNAcentral